RNAcentral lists this ribosomal RNA (466 nucleotides) under uncultured bacterium. Its description in RNAcentral is "partial 16S ribosomal RNA". It matches the Rfam family "Bacterial small subunit ribosomal RNA", at positions 339 to 795 of the family's 1533-position model. The record is from RNAcentral.
CUACGGGCGGCAGCAGUGGGGAAUAUUGGACAAUGGGGGAAACCCUGAUCCAGCAAUGCCGCGUGUGUGAAGAAGGCCUGCGGGUUGUAAAGCACUUUCGGUUGGGAGGACUGCUUCUAGCACUAAUAUUGUUGGAAGUUGACGUUACCUUCAGAAGAAGCACCGGCUAACUCCGUGCCAGGCAGCCGCGGUAAUACGGAGGGUGCAUGCGUUAAUCGGAAUUACUGGGCGUAAAGCGCGCGUAGGCGGCUAGAUCAGUCGGGUGUGAAAGCCCCGGGCUUAACCUGGGAACUGCAUCCGAUACUGUCUAGCUUGAGUACAGGAGAGGAGGGUGGAAUUCCACAUGUAGCGGUGAAAUGCGUAGAUAUGUGGAGGAACACCAAUGGCGAAGGCAGCUCUCUGGCCUGAUACUGACGCUGAGGUGCGAAAGCGUGGGGAGCAAACAGGAUUAGAUACCCCGGUAGUC